UUGGGCCGGCCGGGCCCGGGAGCGCUGUGAGCUGCGUCUGUAACGCAAGUUAAGCUGUAAGUGCGGCAAGGCGAGCUCGUCUGCGUCAGGGCUGAGGUGCUGCCAGCUGGUGAGCUGGGCUUAUGCUAUGUUGCUGCCGCAAGGAGACAUCUCAUUCCCUACCCUUCUCUGCUCUGUGGGAUUUCCCGUGUUUGGUGUUUGCGAGCCCUUGCUGCAAGCUGCCUCAGCUGGCUAACCCAGCCAAGCUUCGGGGCUAGGCCUAUGUCAGGCUGGUGAGUUGACUCACAGGAAGAUGCAUCGCGCAGCUGUGCUGGUGCAAGGUGGCAGUGACUGCAUGUUGGUUACUCCUCCGUCCACGGGCACCACAACCUGCACGUUGGACAGCACGCUGGGCACGGUCAUGGACUCGGGGUUGUAUUUGUAGUCCACCCUCACGUCCGUAGUGCUGGCGUUACAUUUCCAGUACGUGGCAAGAUUCAGCGGCGUGGACUGGAUGCCAUUGGAAGAUACCUGUAAAAGAGUAAACCAUUAAAAGCAACUUUAUUAAUUAAAACUCUCUGUCCUUCUGGGCAGAAUUAUGGUAACAAGUGUAACGCCAAACAGAGACACAAGAUCAAGGGAACAACCAGCUUCUGAGGCCUUUAUCUCAGAAUUCUAAAAACUGAUAAAGGCUAAAAUGGAGCCUUUUUUUU
Molecule: long non-coding RNA, 692 nt
Organism: Nothoprocta perdicaria
Lineage: Eukaryota; Metazoa; Chordata; Aves; Tinamiformes; Tinamidae
Exons: 3
Source: RefSeq, a predicted model, not a curated record